AAGCAGCAACCUCCUUGUGGUGAGACCUGGGCAAUCGAUAUUAUUUUUGAUAUAAUACAUAUCAUGAUUUGUAAAAAUUAACAAAAUAUUUUUUCUUCUUUACAAAUUCUAAUCACAAUUAAAAAGGAUUCUAUACACUUUGUUUCAUAUAUGUAUUUUCUCUUGUUUACAUGAUAUAUAUUACAUAUGAAAUAAUAUUGAGCGAAUGGCUGCUUAAAGUAGGUUAAUUUUAUGUUAAAUUUAAGAACAAAAGAAUUCAACGAUUUAAUAAUUAAUAACAAUGGAAAAUGAUUAAAGAUGAAUGUUGAUUAUCGAGCAUAAUAUUCAUGUCAUUAAUUGAUAAUAGUUCUUUAGUUCUUAUUUUCUUUAGCAUGACGUAAUGUUAAAAAAAAAAAAAAAAGAAAAAGAAAUCUAUUUAACUUAAAGAAAAAUCCUUCAUAAUCAAGGAAAAACUUUGUCGAACUUUCGAGGGAAUUGGAAAAGUAGAGUAUAGUUCUAUAUUACUAAAUCAACCUGGAAUAGUUUGCCGUUGAAUUAUAUCGCAGUUAUCAAAAUUUUCAAACGAAUUAGGGCAUUGUUUAGACAAUAUAUUCAUAUGAUAAUUAAAAUAAAAAAUGUUCUUUCUUUUCUUUUUUUAUUUAUUACAUAAUAUCUCAGAUAUCGUGUAGCAAAUUAAUAUCUACUCGUUUUUGCGUUUUCCUAUUUAUUUGAAAUGUACAUAUUUUUUUUGUUGUUUUUCCUUUUUACCGAAAUACAAGGACAUGUAACUAUCUACGAUAAUCCACUGUUUAGAUCUCAUAUAUUUU
This is a long non-coding RNA of Vespa mandarinia (Asian giant hornet), 806 nucleotides long. The record is from RefSeq and is a predicted model, not a curated record. Lineage: Eukaryota; Metazoa; Arthropoda; Insecta; Hymenoptera; Vespidae.